GACGAACCGAGCGAACGUUGUUCGGAAUCACUGGGCUUAAAGGGCGCGUAGGCGGGUGCUCAAGUCCGGGGUGAAAUCCCACAGCUCAACUGUGGAACUGCCUCGGUUACUGGGUGUCUCGAGGGUGGCAGGGGUAUGCGGAACUAUCGGUGGAGCGGUGAAAUGCGUUGAUAUCGAUAGGAACUCCGGUGGCGAAGGCGGCAUACUGGUCCACUUCUGACGCUGAGGCGCGAAAGCCAGGGGAGCAAACGGG
This 253-nucleotide ribosomal RNA is filed under the name uncultured bacterium. RNAcentral describes it as "partial 16S ribosomal RNA". It matches the Rfam family "Bacterial small subunit ribosomal RNA", at positions 524 to 776 of the family's 1533-position model. The record is from RNAcentral.